AACGUAGGAGACGAGCGUUAUCCGGAUUUACUGGGCGUAAAGAGCGUGUAGGAGGCAAUACAAGUUGGAUGUAAAAGCUCUCGGCUAAACUGAGAGAGGACGUUCAAGACUGUAGAGCUAGAGGAAGGCAGAGGUAGAUGGAACUCCGGGAGUAGUGGUGAAAUGCGUAGAUAUCCGGAAGAACACCAGAGGCGAAAGCGAUCUACUGGGCCUUAACAGACACUGAGACGCGAAAGCCAGGGUAGCAAACGGGAUUAGAGACC
This 263-nucleotide ribosomal RNA is filed under the name uncultured bacterium. RNAcentral describes it as "partial 16S ribosomal RNA". It matches the Rfam family "Bacterial small subunit ribosomal RNA", at positions 524 to 786 of the family's 1533-position model. The record is from RNAcentral.